RNAcentral lists this ribosomal RNA (253 nucleotides) under uncultured bacterium. RNAcentral describes it as "partial 16S ribosomal RNA". It matches the Rfam family "Bacterial small subunit ribosomal RNA", at positions 524 to 776 of the family's 1533-position model. The record is from RNAcentral.
UACGUAGGGUGCGAGCGUUGCCCGGAUUUAUUGGGCGUAAAGGGCGCGCAGGCGGCUCGGCACGUCCGUUGUGAAAUCGCCCGGCUCAACUGGGGAGGGUCACGCGAUACUGAUCGACUCGAAGGCAGGAGAGGGAAGUGGAAUUCCCGGUGUAGUGGUGAAAUGCGUAGAUAUCGGGAGGAACACCAGUGGCGAAGGCGACUUCCUGGCCUGUUCUUGACGCUGAGGCGCGAAAGCUAGGGGAGCAAACGGG